Molecule: ribosomal RNA, 501 nt
Filed under: uncultured bacterium
Lineage: Bacteria
Description: partial 16S ribosomal RNA
Rfam family: Bacterial small subunit ribosomal RNA
Source: RNAcentral
AUUGAACGCUGGCGGCAUGCCUUACACAUGCAAGUCGAACGGCGGCACGGGUGCUUGCACCUGGUGGCGAGUGGCGAACGGGUGAGUAAUACAUCGGAACGUACCUUAUCGUGGGGGAUAACGCAGCGAAAGCUGUGCUAAUACCGCAUACGCCCUGAGGGGGAAAGCGGGGGAUCGAAAGACCUCGCGCGAUUAGAGCGGCCGAUGCCUGAUUAGCUUGUUGGUGGGGGAAAAGCCCAUCAAGGCGACGAUCAGUAGCUGGUAUGAGAGGACGAUCAGUCAGCCUGGGCCUGAGAGACGGGCCGAACUCCUACGGGAGGGAGCAGUGGGGAAUUUUGGACCAUUGGGGAAACCCUGAUCCAGCAAUGCCGCGUGAGUGAAGAAGGCCUUCGGGUUGUAAAGCUCUUUUGUCAGGGAAGAAACACCGGCUCUAACACAGUCCGGGAAUGACGGUACCUGAAGAAUAAGCACCGGCUAACUACGUGCCAGCAGCCGCCGUAA